CUUUCAGCCAUCGCCCCGUGCCCCAUGCUCGUGCUCGUCUUCCACACACGGACGGGAGAGGAGCUCCCGAUCCCGGUGGCCAAGGCGACCUCAUCGCUGUUGCUUGAGCCUUCUCAGACAGCCGUCGUCGGCGACCACCUCCAGCCGGACCUCCUCCAACACGCCCCAGCUCCUCCUGACACCAGCCGCCGCCUCGCACUCCUUUGCCUUCGCCGCCCCAAACCAGAUGUCGCAGCACAGCCUCGACCCCGUGCGCCUUCAACCUCCUGAGCGUAUAGCUCGCCCUCGCCGAACCCUCCGCCGGCGACCAAGACCAGCAGCUCCACAUCGCCCUUCCUCGACGGCGAUCUGCCGGACCAGGAGCCUCGCCACUAGAAGCCACGCGCCGCUUCCUUCUCGUGCUGGCAGCAAGCCCCAACGCUGGCGCCCAUCUCCAAGCCGCCGCUGUGCCUCGCGACCCCUCCUACAAGUUGUUGUCAUUGCUGAAUCAGGGAACGCCAUGGCCGUCUCCGACCUGAACUCCUGUGCCCGCACCUGCAGACCGCCGCCCGGCCACGUCUCCAUGUCCCUUGGACGCUAGUGUUGUUUCUUGUUAGUUCUGGUAACGUCGCGUUUGUGAGCAUCCGUUCGACUACGUUCGUUUUGUCUUCUUCAUGGACUCGUUCUUCUUCCUUGCGGGAU
Molecule: long non-coding RNA, 681 nt
Organism: Triticum dicoccoides
Lineage: Eukaryota; Viridiplantae; Streptophyta; Magnoliopsida; Poales; Poaceae
Exons: 3
Source: RefSeq, a predicted model, not a curated record